GGCGGCAAUAGCGCGGUGGUCCCACCUGACCCCAUGCCGAACUCAGAAGUGAAACGCCGUAGCGCCGAUGGUAGUGUGGGGUCUCCCCAUGCGAGAGUAGGACACUGCCAAGC
RNAcentral lists this ribosomal RNA (113 nucleotides) under Serratia marcescens. RNAcentral also lists the same sequence under 3 other names. Lineage: Bacteria; Pseudomonadati; Pseudomonadota; Gammaproteobacteria; Enterobacterales; Yersiniaceae. The record is from RNAcentral.